AAGACACUAGUAAAAUAUUACACUGCCUUGUCAAGGCAGAGUUGUAGGUUAGACUCCUGCGUGCCUUA
This 68-nucleotide transfer RNA is filed under the name Ophichthus brevicaudatus. RNAcentral describes it as "tRNA-Asp". It matches the Rfam family "tRNA". From Rfam's summary of the family: Transfer RNA (tRNA) molecules are approximately 80 nucleotides in length. Their secondary structure includes four short double-helical elements and three loops (D, anti-codon, and T loops). The record is from RNAcentral. Lineage: Eukaryota; Metazoa; Chordata; Actinopteri; Anguilliformes; Ophichthidae.